Molecule: ribosomal RNA, 467 nt
Filed under: uncultured bacterium
Lineage: Bacteria
Description: partial 16S ribosomal RNA
Rfam family: Bacterial small subunit ribosomal RNA
Source: RNAcentral
GACGAACGCUGGCGGCGUGCUUAACACAUGCAAGUCGAACGGAAAGGCCCUGCUUUUGUGGGGUGCUCGAGUGGCGAACGGGUGAGUAACACGUGAGUAACCUGCCCUUGACUUUGGGAUAACUUCAGGAAACUGGGGCUAAUACCGGAUAGGAGCUCCUGCUGCAUGGUGGGGGUUGGAAAGUUUCGGCGGUUGGGGAUGGACUCGCGGCUUAUCAGCUUGUUGGUGGGGUAGUGGCUUACCAAGGCUUUGACGGGUAGCCGGCCUGAGAGGGUGACCGGCCACAUGGGGACGGAGAGACGGCCCAGACGCCGACGGGAGGCAGGAGGGGGGAAUAUGGCACAAGGGGCGGAAGCCGGAGGCAGCAACGCCGCGUGCGGGAGGACGGCCUUCGGGUGGGAAACCGCUUUCGCCUGUGACGAAGCGUGAGGGACGGGAAUGGGGAAAGAAGCACCGGCGAACUACGG